AGUGAACGCUGGCGGUAGGCCUAACACAUGCAAGUCAAACGGCAGCACAGGAGAGCUUGCUCUCUGGGUGGCGAGUGGCGGACGGGUGAGGAAUACAUCGGAAUCUACUCUGUCGUGGGGGAUAACGUAGGGAAACUUACGCUAAUACCGCAUACGACCUACGGGUGAAAGCAGGGGACCUUCGGGCCUUGCGCGGUUGAAUGAGCCGAUGUCGGAUUAGCUAGUUGGCGGGGUAAAGGCCACCAAGGCGACGAUCCGUAGCUGGUCUGAGAGGAUGAUCAGCCACACUGGAACUGAGACACGGUCCGGACUCCUACGGGAGGCAGCAGUGGGGAAUAUUGGACAAUGGGCGCAAGCCUGAUCCAGCCAUACCGCGUGGGUGAAGAAGGCCUUCGGGUUGUAAAGCCCUUUUGUUGGGAAAGAAAUCCAGCUGGCUAAUAUCCGGUUGGGAUGACGGUACCCAAAGAAUAAGCACCGGCUAACUUCGUGCCAGCCGCCGCAGUAA
Molecule: ribosomal RNA, 505 nt
Filed under: uncultured bacterium
Lineage: Bacteria
Description: partial 16S ribosomal RNA
Rfam family: Bacterial small subunit ribosomal RNA
Source: RNAcentral